CCUGGCUGAAACAAUUUUUUUGUACAAGUCUAAUUAUGCUACAUAAUUUGUAUACUCAAAUCGUUACUUUUUGUAAAAAGACUUCAUUCAGUGUAUAUACAAAGCUCAGCACCCAACAGUACUAAGUGACCUGCUUUUCAUUCACAACCUGGGUGCAGUCAUUAAAACUAUUAAUAGAUAGUGGUACUUCCAUACUAUAUGUGUCACUGGGUGUCCUCUCCUGUUAAAGCAAGUUGUUUUGUAGUGCAGCUCAUUCAGUACGGUUGUGUACAUACAUUUGAUGAGGAAGCCUUUCUGUAACAAGGGGCCUGGUUAAGGAG
Non-coding RNA from Pelobates cultripes (western spadefoot toad), 320 nucleotides. The record is from the annotation of a GenBank genome assembly. Lineage: Eukaryota; Metazoa; Chordata; Amphibia; Anura; Pelobatidae.